Chinchilla lanigera (long-tailed chinchilla) is the source of this 756-nucleotide long non-coding RNA. RefSeq lists it as uncharacterized. The transcript is spliced from 3 exons. Lineage: Eukaryota; Metazoa; Chordata; Mammalia; Rodentia; Chinchillidae. The record is from RefSeq and is a predicted model, not a curated record.
GGUAGGAGGGUGACUCAGCUGUCGCUGCAUCCUUCCUGCGCCGGGCCACACCUGCCACAUCAGCUGGCACCUCCCGCCCAGAAAGAUUCUGGAUCGGCCCUGUCGAAGCCCGGUUCCGACUGCAGUUUAUUUUCCCAGGUCUCUCUAAAUCGAUAAACUGGACAGACUGGGCUCCAAUUUGUGAUCCUCCUGCCUCAGCCUCUCAGAGGGCUGGAGUUACAGGACAGCUCCUGGAAGUCGCCUGUGCUGCAAAGCCAGCUAUCUAAAGCCAGCUAUUUAAAGCAUGUCUGAGGAAUGCAGAGAGAGGGUGAAAGCCUACAAGCUGCUGGAAGAUGGAAACUCCCAGAACGUCCAGCUCCGCCUCUUUUUGGUUUAGUCAUCCUUCUUGCACACUGUUGCUUGGUUUCCACCGUUACUGGAAAAGGAGGAGCUGGAAGCAGGUCUCUUAGGGAAGGCGGAAGUAACUCCUUGUAGAGCACAGCUCAAGGAAAAGCAUAAGACCCUGUGAGAGAGAGGUCCAAGACCUGCCUGCCAAAGUGGAACAUUAAAAACAGAGGGAAGAGUCCUGCACAUCUGAAACGUACUGAAGACUUCACUGUACUCUAGAACAAUUCCUAAGAGCAUAAAGGCUCUGGUUAGAAUACCUCUUGUCCAUCAAAGUAGGAGAAUAUUUCAGGAACUUCAGAAACAAUGGUAUAUUGGAUGGAAAAAUGUGGCUUUAUAAAAGAUCCAGUGAAAACAGCCCAGUUAAUACAU